RNAcentral lists this ribosomal RNA (465 nucleotides) under Micrococcus luteus. RNAcentral describes it as "bacterial SSU rRNA". It matches the Rfam family "Bacterial small subunit ribosomal RNA", at positions 50 to 527 of the family's 1533-position model. Lineage: Bacteria; Bacillati; Actinomycetota; Actinomycetes; Micrococcales; Micrococcaceae. The record is from RNAcentral.
GCUACNAUGCAGUCGAACGAUGAAGCCCAGCUUGCUGGGUGGAUUAGUGGCGAACGGGUGAGUAACACGUGAGUAACCUGCCCUUAACUCUGGGAUAAGCCUGGGAAACUGGGUCUAAUACCGGAUAGGAGCGUCCACCGCAUGGUGGGUGUUGGAAAGAUUUAUCGGUUUUGGAUGGACUCGCGGCCUAUCAGCUUGUUGGUGAGGUAAUGGCUCACCAAGGCGACGACGGGUAGCCGGCCUGAGAGGGUGACCGGCCACACUGGGACUGAGACACGGCCCAGACUCCUACGGGAGGCAGCAGUGGGGAAUAUUGCACAAUGGGCGCAAGCCUGAUGCAGCGACGCCGCGUGAGGGAUGACGGCCUUCGGGUUGUAAACCUCUUUCAGUAGGGAAGAAGCGAAAGUGACGGUACCUGCAGAAGAAGCACCGGCUAACUACGUGCCAGCAGCGGCCGGUAAUAAA